AGCGUCCCACAUUUAUGGAAUUGGAGCUGUAAUAAUAAUGAAGAAGAAAGGUCAAUAUAAGGAUCUCCAAGCAUGGAAAGAAGAAGAAACCCCUAUGACGUGUGUGUGGCAAUCAGAUCUAAAGGAACAUGAGGGGUUAGGGGUUGGCUGUGGAUAAAAAUAGAACCAGCGUGGCUUUGGUUCAAAUCGAUGCCAAUCAGCAGUGUAAUCUGUGGCCGUUGACCACAUCUGUUGCCUGGCACCCGUGUUCUGUAAGGGUUUAUACACUAUUCAUUAGCGCUCUCUAUCCAUCACUCUGGCUCCUGUUUCUCUGAGGAAAGUGGGUGAAACAUUCAAGGGUAGCGACGUAGACAUUCACCCCUCGCACAUGAACUCUGGAAGAAAUCAAGACAGUAGUUCUAAUUUGGUGUGUGUGGAAUUGAUUAGUUUCACAUAGCAGUCAUGGAUCUGGGAAAAUCAUCAUGGCACUUGACCUCGAGGGAAGAGACAACUUCUACCUGAUUGGUAUUUUUCAGAGCAGUCUGGGUAAAGGGUUUGUCAAGAGGGAUUUCACAGAGAUCUAGCCAAGAAAGGAAAAAAAAAUAAAGACCAUUAAAAUGGUCACUAGAUGUUGGACUCCAAAUACAUUCUGUAACUCUUUCAUGCAUGACAUCCAUGAAUACCUUAACUUCAAAAAAUAAAAACUGAAAAUAUA
Long non-coding RNA from Neoarius graeffei (lesser salmon catfish), 694 nucleotides. RefSeq lists it as uncharacterized. Lineage: Eukaryota; Metazoa; Chordata; Actinopteri; Siluriformes; Ariidae. The record is from RefSeq and is a predicted model, not a curated record. The transcript has 2 exons.